UCGAGCGAACAGACGAGGAGCUUGUCCUUUGACGUUAGCGGCGGACGGGUGAGUAACACGUAGGUAACCUACCUAUAAGACUGGGAUAACUUCGGGAAACCGGAGCUAAUACCGGAUAAUAUUUCGAACCGCAUGGUUCGAUAGUGAAAGAUGGCUUUGCUAUCACUUAUAGAUGGACCUGCGCCGUAUUAGCUAGUUGGUAAGGUAACGGCUUACCAAGGCAACGAUACGUAGCCGACCUGAGAGGGUGAUCGGCCACACUGGAACUGAGACACGGUCCAGACUCCUACGGGAGGCAGCAGUAGGGAAUCUUCCGCAAUGGGCGAAAGCCUGACGGAGCAACGCCGCGUGAGUGAUGAAGGUCUUCGGAUCGUAAAACUCUGUUAUUAGGGAAGAACAAACGUGUAAGUAACUGUGCACGUCUUGACGGUACCUAAUCAGAAAGCCACGGCUAACUACGUGCCAGCAG
Molecule: ribosomal RNA, 469 nt
Filed under: Staphylococcus hominis
Lineage: Bacteria; Bacillati; Bacillota; Bacilli; Caryophanales; Staphylococcaceae
Description: bacterial SSU rRNA
Rfam family: Bacterial small subunit ribosomal RNA
Source: RNAcentral